This is a small nuclear RNA of Tropilaelaps mercedesae, 160 nucleotides long. It matches the Rfam family "U1 spliceosomal RNA". From Rfam's summary of the family: U1 is a small nuclear RNA (snRNA) component of the spliceosome (involved in pre-mRNA splicing). Lineage: Eukaryota; Metazoa; Arthropoda; Arachnida; Mesostigmata; Laelapidae. The record is from Rfam.
AUACUUACCUAAUGCCGGGAACUCCGUGAUCAGGAUAGCGGAGACCCCAGGAAAAGGACCUUCCAUUGCACUUCGGAAAAGCUGAGACCUGCCACUUCCCUAAACUGGGAAAAAUGGGGCAUGCGAUUUGUGGUAGAUUUUGCUAUUUAUCAUACGAAUU